GAGUCGGCAUUUAGUGCUGGUGGCCGUGUUGUUGAUCCAUUUCGCACCCGUCUUGAUCCAGAGGCUGUGCAAGCUUUAGUUUGCACCAAAGAUUGGAUUAAAGCAGCUAACAAUGGUUAUAAGACUCAGGCUAUCAUCAAUGAGUUGGACAUUGAAAGCGUAGAGAGGCAUCUGGCAAACUUAUUGAUAGUGG
This is a non-coding RNA of Oryza sativa Japonica Group (Japanese rice), 193 nucleotides long. The record is from RefSeq and is a predicted model, not a curated record. NCBI's taxonomy places the organism in Eukaryota, Viridiplantae, Streptophyta, Magnoliopsida, Poales, Poaceae.